RNAcentral lists this ribosomal RNA (322 nucleotides) under uncultured Nucleocercomonas. Its description in RNAcentral is "SSU rRNA". The stretch from base 82 to 322 matches the Rfam family "Eukaryotic small subunit ribosomal RNA", at positions 713 to 955 of the family's 1831-position model. Lineage: Eukaryota; Cercozoa; Cercomonadida; Cercomonadidae. The record is from RNAcentral.
GAUUUCUGGUAUGGUGCGCCUGGUCCACCGGAGCAAUCCGUGUGAGUGCCGGUGUGCGCCUGCCAUCCUUGUACAGAACGGCUCUACCCUUCAUUGGGUCGGAGUCGCCAUGUGCAUCUUUUACUUUGAAAAAAUUAGAGUGUUUAAAGCAGGCUUGCGCCAUGAAUACAUUAGCAUGGAAUAAUAAUUUAGGACUUUGUUUCUAUUUUGUUGGUUUCUAGAGAUGAAGUAAUGAUUGAUAGGGAUAGUUGGGGGUGCUAGUAUUCAUCGGCCAGAGGUGAAAUUCUUGGAUUCGAUGAAGACUAACUUAUGCGAAAGCAUU